GCCUCUGUAGCUCAGCUGGUUAGAGCGCUGCACCGGAAUCGCAGGGCCGUAGGUUCAAUUCCUACCAGAGGAC
This 73-nucleotide transfer RNA is filed under the name Paramuricea clavata. It matches the Rfam family "tRNA". Rfam says of the family: Transfer RNA (tRNA) molecules are approximately 80 nucleotides in length. Their secondary structure includes four short double-helical elements and three loops (D, anti-codon, and T loops). The record is from Rfam by way of RNAcentral. Lineage: Eukaryota; Metazoa; Cnidaria; Anthozoa; Malacalcyonacea; Plexauridae.